ACUCCUACGGGAGGCAGCAGUGGGGAAUAUUGGACAAUGGGGGAAACCCGAUCCAGCCAUGCCGCGUGUGUGAAGAAGGCCUUCGGGCUUUGUAAAGCACUUUCAGUGGGGAGGAAAGGUUGAUGGUUAAUACCUAUCAGCUGUGACGUUACCCCAAGAAGAAGCACCGGCUAACUCCGUGCCAGCAGCCGCGGUAAUACGGAGGGUGCAAGCGUUAAUCGGAAUUACUGGGCGUAAAGCGUGCGCAGGCGGUCUGUUAAGCGAGAUGUGAAAGCCCCGGGCUCAACCUGGGAACUGCAUUUCGAACUGGCAGACUAGAGUCUUGUAGAGGGGGUAGAAUUCCAGGUGUAGC
Molecule: ribosomal RNA, 352 nt
Filed under: uncultured bacterium
Lineage: Bacteria
Description: bacterial SSU rRNA
Rfam family: Bacterial small subunit ribosomal RNA
Source: RNAcentral